AUACUUACCUGGCAGGGGGAGACACCAUGAUCAAGAAGGCGGUUCACCCAGGGGCUUAGGCUUCGCCCAUUGCACUGGACGCAGCUGACCCCAUGCGAAAUUCCCCAAAUGUGGGAAUCUCGACUGCAUAAUUUAUGGUUGGCUUCUUACUUUCGGGUUCUCAAUGA
Molecule: small nuclear RNA, 167 nt
Organism: Cyprinus carpio (common carp)
Lineage: Eukaryota; Metazoa; Chordata; Actinopteri; Cypriniformes; Cyprinidae
Product: U1 spliceosomal RNA
Exons: 1
Source: RefSeq, a predicted model, not a curated record